CGCAUAUUGCGCUCCUCGGUAUUCCGGGGAGCAUGCCUGUUUGAGAAUCGAUAAACCAAAUCAACCCUUUGAAGGUACCAAUUGGUGCCAACGGAGUGGUUGGACUUGGGCAAUUAUCUUUACCGAUAAUGCCUGAAAAGCAGCGUCGACCUUGGCUUUACUGUUACUUGGAACGAAUUUACUUGAUGCAAGUCAUUACCUUCAGUCCAUAUAACAUCAAGUGAAGCUUGGGGCGAUCAAGUCAUUAGACACCACACUUUACAGUGUUAAACUUGGUCUCAAAUCAGGCAAGAGUACCCGCUGAACUUAA
This 310-nucleotide unclassified non-coding RNA is filed under the name fungal sp. Its description in RNAcentral is "partial contains 5.8S ribosomal RNA, internal transcribed spacer 2, and large subunit ribosomal RNA". The record is from RNAcentral. Lineage: Eukaryota; Fungi.